This 23-nucleotide non-coding RNA is filed under the name Arabidopsis thaliana (thale cress). The record is from RNAcentral. Lineage: Eukaryota; Viridiplantae; Streptophyta; Magnoliopsida; Brassicales; Brassicaceae.
UGGUGGGAUCCAAAAUCUGGUUA